RNAcentral lists this ribosomal RNA (472 nucleotides) under uncultured bacterium. Its description in RNAcentral is "bacterial SSU rRNA". It matches the Rfam family "Bacterial small subunit ribosomal RNA", at positions 355 to 825 of the family's 1533-position model. The record is from RNAcentral.
UCGGGAAUUUUGGGCAAUGGGCGAAAGCCUGACCCAGCAACGCCGCGUGUGUGAAGAAGGUCUUCGGAUUGUAAAGCACUUUAAGUUGGGAGGAAGGGUUGUAGAUUAAUACUCUGCAAUUUUGACGUUACCGACAGAAUAAGCACCGGCUAACUCUGUGCCAGCAGCCGCGGUAAUACAGAGGGUGCAAGCGUUAAUCGGAAUUACUGGGCGUAAAGCGCGCGUAGGUGGUUAGUUAAGUUGGAUGUGAAAUCCCCGGGCUCAACCUGGGAACUGCAUUCAAAACUGACUGACUAGAGUAUGGUAGAGGGUGGUGGAAUUUCCUGUGUAGCGGUGAAAUGCGUAGAUAUAGGAAGGAACACCAGUGGCGAAGGCGACCACCUGGACUGAUACUGACACUGAGGUGCGAAAGCGUGGGGAGCAAACAGGAUUAGAUACCCUAGUAGUCCCUGAGCGGGCUGGCAAGGCGCAU